GUUUGAUCCUGGCUCAGGAUGAACGCUGGCGGCAUGCCUAAUACAUGCAAGUCGAACGGAGAAGCCUAACAGAAGAUGCUUGCAUCGGAAGAUAGAUACUUCUCAGUGGCGAACGGGUGAGUAACACGUAGGUAACCUGCCCAUGUGCCCGGGAUAAUUUCUGGAAACGGAAACUAAAACCGGAUAGGUA
RNAcentral lists this ribosomal RNA (190 nucleotides) under Bicosoecida sp. CB-2014. RNAcentral's name for it is "partial Bacterial small subunit ribosomal RNA". It matches the Rfam family "Bacterial small subunit ribosomal RNA", at positions 11 to 179 of the family's 1533-position model. Lineage: Eukaryota; Bigyra; Bicosoecida. The record is from RNAcentral.